Acomys russatus (golden spiny mouse) is the source of this 212-nucleotide long non-coding RNA. RefSeq lists it as uncharacterized. Lineage: Eukaryota; Metazoa; Chordata; Mammalia; Rodentia; Muridae. The record is from RefSeq and is a predicted model, not a curated record. The transcript has 3 exons.
CCUUUGCUCUUUUGGGUGUCGGUGCUGCGGGCCCAGCUGGACCUGGAGGAAUAACAGUAUUUGUUUUAUUUUAUCUCCAAAAAGCCACCAUUAAAUGCUGUCACCCCUGGAAAGAUCUGAAAGGUCCUCAGGAAGAAGUGAGAUAGAUAUGUUGGCCAUUGAGGACUUGAUAGCAAGCUAUAGACACAAGACAUAGGUGGCAUUGCUGGAAU